AUGGAUCGGCGGCAGCGGCAUCCGCCUACCAGUACCAGCGAUGGUGCUCCUCUACACCCAAGCCUCCUCCUCAACCUCCAGGUCGACACGGCCUCGGACGGCGACGGCAACGACACCACCGCCUCCUGCAGGACCAGCGGCGGCGCGCACGACGUCCAGGUCACCCUGUUCGCCGCCAACCCGCCCGGGGUCUCUCGCCUCCAGGUCGUCCGCUCCGCCGGCGCCUCCGCUCCCUACAUCGUCACCACGGAGGCCGACCUCGUCCUCCUCGGCGUCCCUGCCAGCGCCGAUUCGGCGCGCACCAGGUCCGGGUAUGAUUAUUUCGUAUACAAAUUGGGGGCAGGUGAGAAGGGGGCGUCAUCGCUGGAGCUGCUGCCGGGCCCUGUCCCCUCCUCCCUCUCGCUCGACGACUCGCACGUCGGCAUCCUGCGCCGCCGCGACUCCUACUUGAUCGUGGCGCUCUGCUACACAUCCUCACCUGGCAAGUACGACCUGCAUCUCUACGACUCCAAGAGCGGAGGAUGGACCACAAAGCAGGCCUCGCUCGACCAGCAACAGCAUAUGGAUCACUGCCAUGUCAACCGCAAGGUAAUCACCGUCGAGGGCGACGCUGGCACCAUGGCCUGGGUUGACCUCUGGCACGGUAUCCUCUUCUGCGACGUCCUCCAUGAGGAACCACGGCUUCAACACAUCCCGUUGCCACCGCCACUACUGCCAACAAGGGAGCUGGGAGGCUGCCCCAGGAACGCUCGCGACAUCGCGGUCAUUAAUGGUCGCAUCUACUACGUCGAGCUGCAGAUCAGAACCAUGCCAGGUUCGUCCAGCAGGGGCAGCUACAUCUCUGAUGGCUGGACCGUUGCCAUAUGGAGCACCAGUGCUACUGGUCCUUGGCAUGGGGACUGUUGGCACCAGGACUACAAACUCGACGCCUCUGAGAUCACUGUCGGAGAAAAACUGGUGCACUUUGAAGGCGUAGCCGAGCCAACCUUGGUGAGGCUCCAAACAGGCCAUCCCACACUCUGCCUGCACGACAGUCGAGUUGUUUACCUCAUGGCAAAAGUUGACUACCAGGACGAAAAGGCAUGGGUGCUUGCAGUUGACAUGAGGAACAAGACGCUGCAAGCAGUUGCCAAGUUCACCGCCGAUAGAGUCCCAGGCUUCUGCUUUACAUAUACACACACCAGGGUCUCUGAAUAUCUGAAGAUGCAGAUAUAA
RNAcentral lists this ribosomal RNA (1215 nucleotides) under Triticum aestivum (bread wheat). RNAcentral describes it as "partial small subunit ribosomal RNA". The record is from RNAcentral. Lineage: Eukaryota; Viridiplantae; Streptophyta; Magnoliopsida; Poales; Poaceae.